RNAcentral lists this unclassified non-coding RNA (387 nucleotides) under soil metagenome. Its description in RNAcentral is "partial contains 5.8S ribosomal RNA, internal transcribed spacer 2, and large subunit ribosomal RNA". The stretch from base 1 to 120 matches the Rfam family "5.8S ribosomal RNA", at positions 35 to 154 of the family's 154-position model. The record is from RNAcentral.
GAUGAAGAACGUAGCGAAAUGCGAUAAGUAAUGUGAAUUGCAGAAUCCAGUGAAUCAUCGAAUCUUUGAACGCACCUUGCACCCUUUGGCAUUCCGAAGGGUAUGCUCGUUUGAGUGUCAUUGUACUCUCACACUCUCCGAUCCUAUGGAUUCGGGGAGCGGUGGACUUGGGUGUUGCUGCCUUUCCUUGUGGCUCACCUCAAAUGUGUCAGUGCACCUCUUGGUUGGACAUAGUACGGCGUGAUAAGUGUCUUCGCCGGCACCUCGCAAGAGGGUGGCCGAUCGGGAGCUCUGUGCUUUCAAACCGUCUUCGGACAAUUUCUGACAACUUGACCUCAAAUCGAGUAGGACUACCCGCUGAACUUAAGCAUAUCAAUAAGCGGAGGA